This 298-nucleotide unclassified non-coding RNA is filed under the name Hevea brasiliensis (rubber tree). Lineage: Eukaryota; Viridiplantae; Streptophyta; Magnoliopsida; Malpighiales; Euphorbiaceae. The record is from RNAcentral.
GUCUUUCAUAAGAUGAUGUGUGGCGUUGUCAUCCUCGAGUUACAAUUCAUUCAUGCAAUGUACUUCUAUCUGUUGGUUAUUAACCGCCUAUGACUCAUGAUAUGAGUCUCAAUGCUGUUUAGCAUUUCACUUUUCUGCUAAUGCAUAUGAAGUCUAAAACAUGCAAAAAUGAUGAGCUUAAUAACAUAAAAUAGCCUGAGUGUUUAGGGGUGAACUUUUGGUUAACCAAAUUGAACCAAAUAUUGAGCUAACUGAAUUUUUAACUUACUCUAAAAAUAAUAACCAAAUUGAAAUUGAG